Molecule: long non-coding RNA, 577 nt
Organism: Pangasianodon hypophthalmus (striped catfish)
Lineage: Eukaryota; Metazoa; Chordata; Actinopteri; Siluriformes; Pangasiidae
Exons: 3
Source: RefSeq, a predicted model, not a curated record
UCCCUCGGUAACGCGCUAACGCUAAUUAGGCUGUGGAUUCCACGAGAGGCGUCUCCCUGAACUGGUGCUUCUUUUCACCUAGGCAUCUGUUUACUCAGCUAAUCCGUCUAAAUGCGGUACUUGGUAAAGCUAAUCAUGACCCAUUUUGAAGAUACUAUGUGAAUGAUGUGUCAGCUAAAUGAUUCAGCCUCUGCUUGCCUGUGCGGAUGUUCCAAGUGUGUCUACGUGGGUUUCCUUCUCCGGUUUCUAUCCCACUUCCCAAAAAUAUGCAGGAACACUGGGGGCAAGACCUGAAUACACACUUGAUGGUCACCAGUCAGUUACAGGGCAAUACACAGACACCAGUCCACCAAUCCAUCCUGUACCUCUGUCAUGGAUCAUCACUCCUUCUACCCUGAGUUCUAACAUCUGGAACUUGUUAACCAUGAACUAUUUAAACACCUAUCACAUUCAGCUGAGUGUGAAGCCUUGCUCAUUCCUGUGAGCGUGUCUUUCGCCCUCCUAGACACCUUCUUCUAUGUGUUUAUUAGAGAUAUUUUUCGUUACUGUUGCUUUGUUUCCCUGCUUCAUUAUCCUG